This is a long non-coding RNA of Suricata suricatta (meerkat), 1409 nucleotides long. RefSeq lists it as uncharacterized. NCBI's taxonomy places the organism in Eukaryota, Metazoa, Chordata, Mammalia, Carnivora, Herpestidae. The record is from RefSeq and is a predicted model, not a curated record. The transcript has 4 exons.
GCAUCAGAUGAUUAAGGAUGAUUAACUACCCUUGUUGAUGUUCUCCAGCAGCUGAGAAGUCAACUUAUGGGUUAUGCCACAGAGAACAGAUAUAUAAAUGUGGAGAUAUCAACUUGGGAGUGAACACCAAAGGCAUGAACAGUGACACCCUAAAAAUCCAUGAUAUCCUCUAAGAACUGUGGUAAGAAUAGAAGUAAGAGAUAGCAAGAGAGAAUCCAGUGGAAUGUUAUUGGAAUCCAAUGGAAUACCAACAUUUAAGAAAUGGAAAUAGAAUUCGUAAUGUAGCUGAGUAAUCCAGGAAGAUAUGUUGGAACAAUAUCCACCAUACUUGCACUGUCGCAUUUCAGCCGAAGUUGAGUAUAAAAUGGAUUCCACUUUGUCUCCCAAUCUGAGCAAAAUGUUUAUGAUAUUAACAGCUAAUAUUUCAGCUUCUAUUACCAGUCCUGGAAAUGGCAGAAAGACGCUUUUACAGAAGAACACUUCAACACUCAUGGAUGAUGGUGGUUUCGUAUGGAUCAAGCGGGCAUAUUCCCUGUAACAUUACUUAUCGGGAAGGAAGCAGGCGCAGCGGGUUGAAGAUGGUCCAGAUUUCACUCCAAUCAGUAUAUGUGCUGAAAACACUCAAAAAGUACAAGUUGGUAGUAAGGCGGCCCAUCCACAUAAAGCAUUCCAGAAACUCACUGAGAAUGUGUAUUAUUAUCUAAUGGGCCUUGGACAAUGAGUGGUUUAGAGAAAACUGAAUUUUUGAGGGUCCGUACUGGAUAAAUAUUAUAUUGAGUCAGAAGUUGGCUUCCACAGGGAGUUCUUACGCCACUACCACAGAGUAAUCAGAACUCAUUGACAAUAUUUACAGUAGUUGAGAUGGUUUGACUUGAUCCUGAAAGUAAGAAGACCUUGGGAAUAUAAAUCAUAAAAUAUUGAUUUAUGGUUCACUGUAAGGUGUUCCACCAACUUCAUAUACUAAAUUUCACCUCAGAUACCAGAAACAUUUCUGCCGUCAGCAACGCUGGAGCUUGGAGGGAGAUAUGUGACUUAGAAGGCAAUCUUUUCAGGGCUUAAGAACAUGAGUUUUGAAAUAAGAUAUGGUUUAAACACUAGCUUUUUAGUUUCUAAGCUAUGUGGCUUUAUUAACUUACCUACAAAGAAUAUACCAAAAUAUGGGGCAUAAUAAACAUUCAGUAAAUGGUAGCUCUUAUAACUACUUGUAUAUUUUUUGAAUGGCUGGGUUCUAAAUGCCUACAGUCCAGCUAUAGCUGCAAUGCUAGGAAAAUACAAGUCAGAGCACUGAGACUUUAACAUGUACUUAAACACUGUCUAAUCUUAAGACAUGAUAGGUACCAAAUACAACUUGUCAGGACUUCUGUGUUCAAUUUUAUGAGAAGGAAUAAUAAACUUAUGAUAAAGGAAAA